Molecule: non-coding RNA, 949 nt
Filed under: Hemigrammus erythrozonus (glowlight tetra)
Lineage: Eukaryota; Metazoa; Chordata; Actinopteri; Characiformes; Acestrorhamphidae
Description: 12S ribosomal RNA
Rfam family: Bacterial small subunit ribosomal RNA
Source: RNAcentral
CAAAGGCUUGGUCCCGACUUUACUAUCAGCUUUAGCCCAACUUAUACAUGCAAGUAUCCGCACCCCUGUGAGAAUGCCCUCAAUCCCCCACCCGAGGACGAGGAGCCGGCAUCAGGCACAAUUAUUUUAGCCCAUGACGCCUUGCUACGCCACCCCCCCAAGGGAAUUCAGCAGUAAUAAACAUUAAGCCAUAAGUGAAAACUUGACUUAGUCAGGGCUACUUAGGGCCGGUAAAACUCGUGCCAGCCACCGCGGUUAUACGAGAGACCCUAGUUGAUAAACAUCGGCGUAAAGAGUGGUUACGGAAAAGAUAAAUAAAGUCGAACAACCUCUUAGCUGUUAUACGCAUUAUGAGAGCAUGAAGCCCCUUCACGAAAGUAACUUUAAUACCCCCUGAACCCACGAAAGCUAAGAAACAAACUGGGAUUAGAUACCCCACUAUGCUUAGCCUUAAACCUAGAUGUCUGCCCUACAGAAAACAUCCGCCAGGGUACUACGAGCGCCAGCUUAAAACCCAAAGGACUUGACGGUGUCUCAGACCCACCUAGAGGAGCCUGUUCUAGAACCGAUAAUCCACGUUAAACCUCACCACCUCUUGUUUUUCCCGCCUAUAUACCGCCGUCGCAAGCUUACCCUGUGAAGGACAAACAGUAAGCAAAAUGGGUACCCCCAGAACGUCAGGUCGAGGUGUAGCUUACGGGGUGGAAAGAAAUGGGCUACAUUUUCUAUAUCAGAAUAUACGAAUAGUACUAUGAAACUAGUACCUGAAGGUGGAUUUAGUAGUAAAAAUCAAAUAGAGAGUCAUUUUGAAGUUAGGCUCUGAGACGCGCACACACCGCCCGUCGCCCUCCCCAACUUGAAAUCAGAUAAGUAAAUAACCAAAUAACUAUCAUUAACGGGGAGAUAAGUCGUAACAUGGUAAGUGUACCGGAAGGUGCACUUGGAACAU